RNAcentral lists this ribosomal RNA (377 nucleotides) under uncultured bacterium. RNAcentral's name for it is "bacterial SSU rRNA". It matches the Rfam family "Bacterial small subunit ribosomal RNA", at positions 523 to 898 of the family's 1533-position model. The record is from RNAcentral.
AUACGUAGGGGGCGAGCGUUGUCCGGAAUUACUGGGCGUAAAGGGCGUGUAGGCGGUCUGAUAAGUCAGAUGUGAAAACCCUGGGCUUAACCUAGGGAUUGCAUUUGAAACUGUUGGGCUUGAGGUCAGGAGAGGGAAGCGGAAUUCCCAGUGUAGCGGUGAAAUGCGUAGAUAUUGGGAGGAACACCAGUGGCGAAGGCGGCUUCCUGGACUGCACCUGACGCUGAGGCGCGAAAGCUAGGGUAGCGAACGGGAUUAGAUACCCCGGUAGUCCUAGCCGUAAACGAUGGAUACUAGGUGUGGGAGGUAUCGACCCCUUCCGUGCCGCAGUUAACGCAAUAAGUAUCCCGCCUGGGGAGUACGGCCGCAAGGUUGAA